UACGUAGGUCCCGAGCGUUGUCCGGAUUUAUUGGGCGUAAAGCGAGCGCAGGCGGUUUGAUAAGUCUGAAGUUAAAGGCUGUGGCUUUACCACAGUUCGCUUUGGAAACUGUUUAACUUGAGUGCAAGAGGGGAGAGUGGAAUUCCAUGUGUAGCGGUGAAAUGCGUAGAUAUAUGGAGGAACACCGGUGGCGAAAGCGGCUCUCUGGCUUGUAACUGACGCUGAGGCUCGAAAGCGUGGGGAGCAAACAGG
RNAcentral lists this ribosomal RNA (252 nucleotides) under uncultured bacterium. Its description in RNAcentral is "partial 16S ribosomal RNA". It matches the Rfam family "Bacterial small subunit ribosomal RNA", at positions 524 to 776 of the family's 1533-position model. The record is from RNAcentral.